Molecule: ribosomal RNA, 119 nt
Filed under: Musa acuminata subsp. malaccensis (wild Malaysian banana)
Lineage: Eukaryota; Viridiplantae; Streptophyta; Magnoliopsida; Zingiberales; Musaceae
Source: RNAcentral
CGAUACGAUCAAACCAACACUAAAUCAUUAGAUCCCAUUAGAACUCUAAAGUUAAAAGUGCUUGGGCGAGAGUAGUACCAAGAUGAGUGACCCCAUAGUAAGUCCUCGUGUUGCACCCU